UACCUUCUAAAGCUAUAGGCAGAUCUGAGGGGAUUUGUGAAGUGGUGUUAUUUACGACACAUACCUCCCACUACCCACUUUUUGGCGGGGAGUGGAAUGGAAAUAUUUAAUGCCUCUCUUUCUUAACAGGAGAGGUAACAACAGGUAAUGCUUUACUAACAUACCGCCGCUACAGCUACAGCCUCCUAGAACUUAAGGUGAAUUUCUCCCCUCCCCGCCUUCGCUCAAGACUUACUGUGGGUUCUAGAAAGUCAGGGAAGAGUGCCAUUGCUGCUGCAGCCUGCAGUGCUCCUGACAUGUUUUAAAACGUGUGACGCUAGGACCUAGCGCUGUUAUUGCUGCCGUAAUGAUCUGGGGUGCCAACGGUUUCCCUUUUUCUAGGACAGAAUGAUCUGAUGCCAGGAAAUACUAGAUUUUAAAAGGACCUUUUCCCUUAGGUAAUUUUCUAGCUGCAGAUGCAGAAUGAUUUUCAGUGGCAAAUUUCCCCCCAGAAGUCCCUGAAAUGGAGUUAUUACGGCUUGGAGGGGAAACAAUUGUUUCCAUUCCCACCGACUCCCUCCGCAAUGUUCCCUUCCCAGGUAAGGGAGUUUAUUACUGGCCAGCAGUGGGCAGAUGGACUUGAGAUCAAGCAAGAAAAAUGCAAACUAAAAAUAAAUUUAGUAUAGAAGGAAAACACGGAAGCGUUCCUGGGAAGGAACUGAAGAAGACCAGAAUGACUGAAGGAAACAUGGGGGCGGCCUGCAUCUCCGGCUAGCUGAGUAGCUGCUAGGAGUUACUACAGCUUUCCCAUCCUCAGUUUCUUCAUCAAUAAAAAAGAAUUAAAAUGAGAAAAUCUUUUCAUGAAUCUUAGGCACAGUGAGCAUCCCACAAAAGAGGUUGAAAAUGAAUUUAUAAAUGGGAGAAAUUUCGAUUGCAGAAUUUCUGGCAUCAGAGACUCAGAGUGCAUUUGAACCAGCCUUAGCUGCUUCGGCUGUCCCACUGGAGGCACAACUUCCAAGUGGAAAUCAAUGCAGGGUGGAGGAGGAGCAAAUGCACAGCCUCCUACAGGCUUGAAGCAUCAUGCAUUUAUUAGAUCUCGCAGUUUAACAAACUCCUGUAAAAGGCAACACUGUGAGGACUCAGGGCACUCUUCAUACCCUUACAGGCUCCAGCUGUGUCCCUCAUCUCCAAUGCCUGUCACCUGUUCUUCCACUUCUUCCCACCUGUGCUCGCAGGGAGGCUCCAGCCCUGGCUCCCGGUCUAUGUUUGGCUUCUGAGAGGCCACAGGAGGCCACCCCCCAGCCUUUUUGACUCAUUCCUAAAUGUUUCCAUGAUUAUCAUAGUCUUGAGUCUUGGAUUGUGAAUCCUCGUAACCGACACAGAGUGGCAGGAUCCCAUGUGGAAUAUCCUAUGGCCAGUCAAACAUCCGGAUACCUCAGCUGGAGAUUGCUGAGAGCUGAUCCUGAAAAAGUGAACUAUUGAUGGAACUGAGGAGGGAAAGGAGAAAUAACUUUGGAGCCAGAGCUCUGAAUGCUUCCUCAAAUUCAAAACUCAGCCUCCCCACUUACUGGUUUUGUGGCUUCAGCUGUCAAGUGAAAUGGGAGCAGGCCUGCCCAAAUCAGGGAGCCGAGGUCUGCAGCGGCUCUUCACGUUCCACGUGGUAAUAGCCAGUGACAGCUUCUACUCUGAACAAAUUGUUUUCCGUUGGUUGAUGGGUCUCAGCUGUUCUAACCUGGGAAGUGAUGGGAAAAAAUGAAGCUGAGAGUGUUGCAAUGAACUUCCCAAGGUCAUUCAUCUGUGGCAAAAUGUUUGACAUGACGUUGGAAUUUUUUUCACAAUCUAGAAGAAAUCCUUAAUAAAGCUAUCAGAUCCUAGCUGGUUGAGUUAUUUUACAGAAGAUGAGGGCUCAGCUUCUGGAUAUUUGUUAAUGAAUAAUGAAACAUUAGGACUGCACCUUUGCCUCUGAGUAUAAUUUUGGACACAUUCUACAAAUUUUUAUUUUAAAAAAUCGUAUGGUGCUGCAAACAACCUGAAGGGUUUUUCCCCUCAUUUAUUUAAUUGGCUUAUAAUAAAUCUUUAUUUUUUUAAAUACAUUUUGUUUAAACUUUUAUCAUUACUUUUCAGUUAUGCCAUUCAUUGGCUUUGAUGUCAGAGAGCCUUGUAUGUUUAUUUUCAUACACUUGUAAUGUUUUAGUAUUUAAUUUGUCGUCUAAAAUGUGAUUUUUAAAGUAACUAUUUCAUCAGUUCUUAAAAUUAUAUACUCUGUGUUUGGAGGGUAGAAAUUUCUGUAUAAGUAUCUUCAAUUGUGCUUUAUUAACUAUUAUGUUCUGUGUUUAAGGAUGCAAAGUUUGAAAAUAUUUUCUUUUCCAGUUUUUACAAAUUUGUUUCUUUAUAAACUACUCAUCUAUCAAAAAGCUGAAUGUUUCUGUCAAUUUAACCUCGUUUUCAUAAUAGGCUUUAUUUUAUAUAUUUGAGAAAAAAAUACUUCAUGCAUAGAGAUUUAUCAUCAUUAUGGGAUUAAUUUUUAAUGGAAAACUCUUUUCUUUAUCCAGUGUAAUCUGAAGGUUAAAAAUACAUUAAUGAAUUUGGUCUUAUUUUUGUCAUAUUGUUUUAUGGUUUAAAAAAAUUUACACUUGUGCUGUAUCCUUUUUUCUCCUGCUACAUGCACUGUUAUUAAUUGAAGAAA
Long non-coding RNA from Equus asinus (donkey), 2665 nucleotides. Lineage: Eukaryota; Metazoa; Chordata; Mammalia; Perissodactyla; Equidae. The record is from Ensembl.